AUUGCUUCUCAGCCUUUUAGCUAAGAUCAACUGUAGUAUUUGUCCUUACCAGUUUAAUAGCGAGGAAAUUUGGUAAAAAUCCUGGAGAUAAUGUUGAGUGAUAGGAGUGCUGGGAGAAAUAUAU
RNAcentral lists this small nuclear RNA (124 nucleotides) under Balaenoptera musculus (blue whale). Its description in RNAcentral is "U2 spliceosomal RNA (ENSBMSG00010004078.1)". It matches the Rfam family "U2 spliceosomal RNA". Rfam says of the family: U2 is a small nuclear RNA (snRNA) component of the spliceosome (involved in pre-mRNA splicing). Complementary binding between U2 snRNA (in an area lying towards the 5' end but 3' to hairpin I) and the branchpoint sequence (BPS) of the intron results the bulging out of an unpaired adenosine, on the BPS, which initiates a nucleophilic attack at the intronic 5' splice site, thus starting the first of two transesterification reactions that mediate splicing. The record is from RNAcentral. Lineage: Eukaryota; Metazoa; Chordata; Mammalia; Artiodactyla; Balaenopteridae.